AUUGUUUGCUAUAUAGAACUCUGUGCUUAUACUACUUUCAGCCACCAUAUUGAAAAAUUAUCACGCCCUCUAUAGUCACUUAGAUUUGCGAAUACCCUAUUUAACAUGCUAACAUCAAUUGCUAGCACACUUCCCCUGGCUAACAGCGAUGUAGCUAUAAAAAGAAAUCCAUCUGUAUUCGAGUCUUUAAGAAGUAGUAAAGACAAGUAUAAACCGGGCGUCUACAGCAUUGUACUCAUUAACAAGAACACUAAAAUCGCAAGUAAAUAUAUAGGUUUCACAAGCCGUACAAUGGAAGAAAGGCUAGAC
Molecule: long non-coding RNA, 309 nt
Filed under: Androctonus crassicauda
Lineage: Eukaryota; Metazoa; Arthropoda; Arachnida; Scorpiones; Buthidae
Source: RNAcentral